UACGGAGGAUCCAAGCGUUGUCCGGAUUUACUGGGUUUAAAGGGUGCGUAGGUGGUCUUUUAAGUCAGUGGUGAAAGCCUGUAGCUUAACUAUAGAAUUGCCAUUGAAACUGAAAGUCUUGAGUACAGUUGAGGUGAGCGGAAUGUAUCAUGUAGCGGUGAAAUGCUUAGAUAUGAUACAGAACACCGAUUGCGAAGGCAGCUCACUAAACUGCAACUGACACUGAGGCACGAAAGCGUGGGGAUCAAACAGG
Molecule: ribosomal RNA, 253 nt
Filed under: uncultured bacterium
Lineage: Bacteria
Description: partial 16S ribosomal RNA
Rfam family: Bacterial small subunit ribosomal RNA
Source: RNAcentral